UGGGGGAUAUUGCACAAUGGGGGAAACCCUGAUGCAGCGACGCCGCGUGAGGGAAGACGGUCCUCUGGAUUGUAAACCUCUGUCUUCGGGGACGAAACGAGACGGUACCCGAGGAGGAAGCCACGGCUAACUACGUGCCAGCAGCCGCGGUAAUACGUAGGUGGCAAGCGUUGUCCGGAAUUACUGGGUGUAAAGGGAGCGUAGGCGGGCAGGCAAGUCAGGCGUGAAAUAUAUCGGCUCAACCGGUAACGGCGCUUGAAACUGCAGGUCUUGAGUGAAGUAGAGGUUGGCGGAAUUCCUAGUGUAGCGGUGAAAUGCGUAGAUAUUAGGAGGAACACCAGUGGCGAAGGCGGCCAACUGGGCUUUUACUGACGCUGAGGCUCGAAAGUGUGGGGAGCAAACAGGAUUAGAUACCCUGGUAGUCCACACCGUAAACGAUGAUUACUAGGUGUGGGGGGACUGACCCCUUCCGUGCCGGAGUUAACACAAUAAGUAAUCCACCUGGGGAGUACGGCCGCAAGGUUGAAACUCAAAGGAAUUGACGGGGGCCCGCACAAGCAGUGGAGUAUGUGGUUUAAUUCGACGCAACGCGAAGAACCUUACCAGGUCUUGACAUCGUAUGCAUAGUGUAGAGAUACAUGAAGUCCUUCGGGACAUACAGACAGGUGGUGCAUGGUUGUCGUCAGCUCGUGUCGUGAGAUGUUGGGUUAAGUCCCGCAACGAGCGCAACCCUUGUAUUUAGUUGCUACGCAAGAGCACUCUAGAUAGACUGCCGUGGACAACACGGAGGAAGGUGGGGAUGACGUCAAAUCAUCAUGCCCCUUAUGACCUGGGCUACACACGUACUACAAUGGCAAUGGAACAGAGGGAAGCGACUCAGCGAUGAGAAGCAGAUCCCGAAAAAUUGUCUCAGUUCGGAUUGCAGGCUGCAACCCGCCUGCAUGAAGUCGGAAUUGCUAGUAAUCGCGGAUCAGCAUGCCGCGGUGAAUACGUUCCC
This 997-nucleotide ribosomal RNA is filed under the name uncultured bacterium. Its description in RNAcentral is "bacterial SSU rRNA". It matches the Rfam family "Bacterial small subunit ribosomal RNA", at positions 355 to 1375 of the family's 1533-position model. The record is from RNAcentral.